Struthio camelus australis is the source of this 1187-nucleotide long non-coding RNA. RefSeq lists it as uncharacterized. NCBI's taxonomy places the organism in Eukaryota, Metazoa, Chordata, Aves, Struthioniformes, Struthionidae. The record is from RefSeq and is a predicted model, not a curated record.
UGUGUCGCAAGCUGAUAUCUUUAAAAUUAAUGAAGUGUUUAAGCCUUAGUCAAGAAGCUCAUCAAAACAACAGCCCGCUCUCCUCGCGGCGAGCACGGAGCAGCUCCUUGCCAGCCCCCUGCGCUCCGGGGAGAGGGUCCACGGGCUCAGCCUUAGGGCUGACUAGCUGCUAGGAAGGUGAGUCCCCAGGAUAGCGAGUGUGGGACAGGCCUGGAGAGAGCAGUGGCAUGCACUCAUCACCUGGGAAUUAACACCACCUCUGUGCCUGUGGGCGGAGGGGCUGUGAGCUGCUGCUGUGGCCAGUAGCUCCUGACUGUCCCAGUAGUGUUGAUGUGGACAUAGGGCAGCUCAGGAGCCUUCCUGAUGUCCAUGCUGGAAAGGACAGAGUUUUGCAGGAGCAGUGGGGCACAGAGGGGGCUAGAUCAUCACAGAGGAGGCACAGGCACAAUUACAAGGAAGGCAGGGGCCAAGAUUCCUAAAGGAAGGAUGAAUUUUUGGAUGCCUCCUUUUUCAGGUGUUCGUUCAACUUGAGCAAGAGCUAGCUGAGCCUGAAGCCUUCGUAUUGUGGGGGCAGGUUCUGCAUCAGAGUGGAAAGGAAGGCUUUCAACUGCUCCUGUUUAAACAUAGGAAGCCAAUUCUUGCAAGGAAAUGACAAACCUAAUGGCAAACUUGCAAAUCAUUGACGAUAUCUGGAGCCCAGAUAACGUUGAGCUGCAGUGAAAUCUCCUUCAUCUUGUCACAGAGGCUGAAAUCCCAGUGCUGAUGGAUGGCUGGCAGUGGAAGGAAACCGAUUCUGGUCUGCUAGACACCUGUGGGAAACAUUCACUUGAUCUACACCCAAACUUUGCAUCUUCAGAUGCCCUGAAAUGCAAUUUCAGUUCAUCAGUAAGGAGGAAUUAAAGAUCUGCAAUACAAGAGUCUAAGCUAAACUGAUCCUUGAAAAGGCCAUCUGGAGCCAGUCCUGGUCCAGCAGGUGACAGCAUGUUGUGAGCAGCAGAAGCUCGAGAGCAGCUGUGCGGGGAGGCUGUGAUCACCAUAUCCAGCACCGUGUGCACGCAGAGGUCCAGGUACACAGUGGUGGCCUCUGUCCAGUCCUUGAUGGGUCUCACUCCUCUGUGGUAAUGCUGCAGAAGAUGCCAGGUCAGGUGAUGGGAAGUGGAGUAUCAUGCCACAGAGCAUCUGCAGUG